This 376-nucleotide ribosomal RNA is filed under the name uncultured bacterium. RNAcentral describes it as "bacterial SSU rRNA". It matches the Rfam family "Bacterial small subunit ribosomal RNA", at positions 524 to 898 of the family's 1533-position model. The record is from RNAcentral.
UACAGAGGGUGCAAGCGUUGUUCGGAAUUAUUGGGCGUAAAGCGCGUGUAGGCGGCUUGGCAAGUCAGAUGUGAAAGCCCUCGGCUUAACCGAGGAAGUGCGUCUGAAACUGCUGAGCUUGAGUGUCGGAGAGGAUGGCGGAAUUCCGCAAGUAGAGGUGAAAUUCGUAGAUAUGCGGAGGAACACCGGUGGCGAAGGCGGCCAUCUGGACGACUACUGACGCUGAGACGCGAAAGCGUGGGGAGCAAACAGGAUUAGAUACCCUGGUAGUCCACGCUGUAAACGAUGAGAACUAGGUGUCGUGGGUGUUGACCCCCGCGGUGCCGCAGCUAACGCAUUAAGUUCUCCGCCUGGGAAGUACGGCCGCAAGGCUAAA